This 700-nucleotide ribosomal RNA is filed under the name uncultured bacterium. RNAcentral describes it as "bacterial SSU rRNA". It matches the Rfam family "Bacterial small subunit ribosomal RNA", at positions 61 to 763 of the family's 1533-position model. The record is from RNAcentral.
GUCGACGGCAGCGCGGGGCAACCUGGCGGCGAGUGGCGAACGGGUGAGUAAUAUAUCGGAACGUGCCCUGGAGUGGGGGAUAACGCAGCGAAAGUUGCGCUAAUACCGCAUACGAUCUAAGGAUGAAAGCGGGGGAUUCGCAAGAACCUCGUGCUCCUGGAGCGGCCGAUAUCUGAUUAGCUAGUUGGUGGGGUAAAGGCCUACCAAGGCAUCGAUCAGUAGCUGGUCUGAGAGGACGACCAGCCACACUGGAACUGAGACACGGUCCAGACUCCUACGGGAGGCAGCAGUGGGGAAUAUUGCACAAUGGGCGCAAGCCUGAUGCAGCAACGCCGCGUGAGGGACGACGGCCUUCGGGUUGUAAACCUCUUUGAGUAGGGAAGAAGCGACUGGGUUUUCCUGGGAGUGACGGUACCCGCAGAAAAAGCACCGGCUAACUACGUGCCAGCAGCCGCGGUAAUACGUAGGGUGCAAGCGUUGUCCGGAAUUAUUGGGCGUAAAGAGCUCGUAGGCGGUUUGUCGCGUCUGCUGUGAAAACCCGAGGCUCAACCUCGGGCCUGCAGUGGGUACGGGCAGACUAGAGUGCGGUAGGGGAGAUUGGAAUUCCUGGUGUAGCGGUGGAAUGCGCAGAUAUCAGGAGGAACACCAAUGGCGAAGGCAGAUCUCUGGGCCGUAACUGACGCUGAGGAGCGAAAGCAUG